Molecule: ribosomal RNA, 507 nt
Filed under: Triticum aestivum (bread wheat)
Lineage: Eukaryota; Viridiplantae; Streptophyta; Magnoliopsida; Poales; Poaceae
Description: partial small subunit ribosomal RNA
Source: RNAcentral
AUGGGAUCUUCAGGUGAACAGGAGUACCCAUUAUCUCACCAUGCUAAGAUCUUCAGGUUAAAAGGUGUGAUGGCAAUCCGAUUAAGAACCACACGCACUGGUACGGCAGACUUCGUCUUGGAGUUCUUCCUGCCGACAGACUGUGAAGCAGAAAAUGAGCAGAAGACGGUGCUGAAUUCCUUGUCGGGAACCGUGCAAAGUCUAUGCCGAACACUACGCAUGGUUACAAACAAGGAGAUGCAGGACGACGCAAUGUGGGAAAUGAAUAAGAUCAGCUCGCUUGGUCUUCAGAAGAACAAGAAGGUGAAGAAAAGAAAACCAAUGGCACGAAGAUCACCUGUGUGGAAAAGCUUUACAGAGAUCAUAGUUGGAGAUACUGCUAAGGCUAAGUGCAACCAUUGUGAUCUUGAGCUUUGCUGUGAUUCAAAAAACGGUACAUCCUCAUUGAGAUCUCAUUUGAAAAGGUGCAAACUUAACCCCAAUAAUAGGAUCACGGGCCCCAUAUAA